Acromyrmex echinatior (Panamanian leafcutter ant) is the source of this 1626-nucleotide long non-coding RNA. The record is from RefSeq and is a predicted model, not a curated record. Lineage: Eukaryota; Metazoa; Arthropoda; Insecta; Hymenoptera; Formicidae.
ACGAGUUUAGUUUCUACAAAGUAUUUUUAACAAGUUCCAGUUUUGCAUAAGUAUACCAUUAAUAGCUCAUCAAUGCAUUUUGCAGCAAUGUAUUCAUAUAUACGGUGCAUUUAACAAAACCGUAAUCGAAUACUUUGUACAGUUUGUAGCAGGGUUGCCAGAUUUUUGCCGGGUGUCGAUGAAAGGAUAAUUUACACUGGUGUAAGAAUUGACCAAUCACAGUUGGAAAUAAGGGGAAAAUAAUCGAUUAUUGAUCAAUUUUUACAAUUACGGCAUAAGUUAACAUUACAAAUUACGGCCUAUAUAAAUGAUUCUUAAGCCUUUAUCGCCUAAAAGUCGCCCAACUGGAACAUGCUUUCUAAAAAAAAAAAAGUAGGAAACAAUUAUACUCAUAUAUUCAUAAUUACACUCGAUUUAUCCUUGUUGUCCCAAUGUUAAACAAGGAUAAAAUGAUAUAAGGGCACGUUUCUGAACGCAACCUUGCCACAGACUUCUAUUAUAAAGGCCUGCGCAUACAUCAAAUAUUGGAAACAGGAGUAAAUAUUAAGAUUUCAACCUAUCAGAUACCAAUUACACCGGAAUACGGUUCCUGAUAGAUUGAAAUCUUAAUAUUUAUUCUUAUUCCUAAUAUUUUCUCCAUUGUGCGUAGGGCUAACAACCCUAGACCACUGACUCGUCCCUUUAACACAGGGUCUACAAUAGAAUAUUGUCGUAGGAAAAUCGUACUUAAAUCGUAGAAAAUUAAUCAAUUACAGUCAAAUAUGAAAAUAAUAAUCAAUUAUGAUUGAUCAAUUUUCUAUGACUUAAGACUUUAUGACUGUCACGAUUUUUAUUGUAGAUAAACUGUUGUAAAUAAACUCGACUUAAAGCCCUAAACACAAUGUGAAAGCAACAGCGAUAGCGAUAGGAACAGAGAAAUCCAACAUAUGCAUUUCUGUAUGUUAGAUUCUUCUAUUGCUAUCGCUAUUACUAUCGCUAUUUCUAUCGCUAUUGCUGUUGCCUUCGCAUUGUGUUUAGAGCUACUGUUGCCAAAAUAUACGUAUUAUGUGCGCAGAAUAAGUACAUUUGCAUAUUGCGCAUACUUUCUGUAUACUUUUGAACCAAUCACAGAAACGCUAGAUCACCUGACCUGUUGGCAUUUCUUUCUGUGUGUGAUCUUAUAGCAUUUUUCGUUGGCAAAAGCAUUCUAGUGCGUACUUAGUGCACAUUAAAGCUAUUACACUAUUCAAAUCUAAAUGUACAAUAUAAUUCAAUUCUGUAUUUCUAUUAAACGUACAUCUUUAUGUCGAUUUGUGUACAAUGGCUUUAAAGUGCACUGAAUGCGCACUAGUUCUGCUAAUGCACUCUAAACGCUAUCAUUGUACUCAUCUACUGUGUGCAGGCAACACUUUUAAGGAAAAGUGGGAAGUUAGCAGUUUAGUGUAAUAAUGUAAGUCUAUGAACCUUGCACUGUUAUCCAGGGUUACCAGAUUUUAGGCAACUUUUGCAUUGCAUGACGCUGCAUUGACAUCUGUAUCGCCAGUGUAACACUAAAAUAACCCAAAGUAUCCCAAAACUAUUUAUAUCAGGCUGUAUUGGGCUAUAUUAUAUUAGCCUGUUACGCACAUAAAAUUUGAAUAUUGCAAA